AGAGUUUGAUCCUGGCUCAGGACGAACGCUGGCGGCAUGCCUAACACAUGCAAGUCGAACGAGAAAGUUCCUUCGGGAGCAAUUAAAGUGGCGCACGGGUGAGUAACGCGUAGACAAUCUGCCCUUCAGUCUGGGACAACUUUUCGAAAGGAGAGCUAAUACCGGAUAACAAUGCAUGACACAAGUUGUAUAUUUGAAAGCUUUAUGUGCUGAAGGAGGGGUCUGCGUCCCAUUAGCUAGUUGGUAGGGUAAAGGCUUACCAAGGCAACGAUGGGUAGCGGGUUUGAGAGGACGAUCCGCCACACUGGAACUGAGACACGGUCCAGACUCCUACGGGAGGCAGCAGUGGGGAAUAUUGGACAAUGGGGGCAACCCUGAUCCAGCAAUACCGCGUGUGUGAAGAAGGCCUGAGGGUUGUAAAGCACUUUCAAUUGUGAAGAAAAGUUAACGGUUAAUAACCGUUAGCCUUGACGUUAACUUUAGAAGAAGCACCGGCUAACUCCGUGCCAGCAGCCGCGGUAAUACGGAGGGUGCAAGCGUUAAUCGGAAUUACUGGGCGUAAAGCGUGCGUAGGCGGUUUAUUAAGUCAGAUGUGAAAGCCCCGGGCUUAACCUGGGAACUGCAUUUGAAACUGGUCAACUAGAGUAUGGUAGAGGAAAGUGGAAUUUCUGGUGUAGCGGUGAAAUGCGUAGAUAUCAGAAGGAACAUCAAUGGCGAAGGCAGCUUUCUGGACCAAUACUGACGCUGAGGUACGAAAGCGUGGGUAGCAAACAGGAUUAGAUACCCUGGUAGUCCACGCCGUAAACGAUGAUAACUAGCCGUUGGGGGGAUUUACCCUUUAGUGGCGAAGCUAACGCGUUAAGUUAUCCGCCUGGGGAGUACGGCCGCAAGGUUAAAACUCAAAGGAAUUGACGGGGACCCGCACAAGCGGUGGAGCAUGUGGUUUAAUUCGAUGCAACGCGAAGAACCUUACCUGGUCUUGACAUCCUGCGAACUUUCUAGAAAUAGAUUGGUGCCUUCGGGAACGCAGUGACAGGUGCUGCAUGGCUGUCGUCAGCUCGUGUCGUGAGAUGUUGGGUUAAGUCCCGUAACGAGCGCAACCCCUAUCCUUAUUUGCCAGCACGUCAUGGUGGGAACUAUAAGGAGACUGCCGGUGAUAAACCGGAGGAAGGCGGGGACGACGUCAAGUCAUCAUGGCCCUUACGACCAGGGCUACACACGUGCUACAAUGGGAAGGACAAAGAGCCGCGAAGCCGCGAGGUGUAGCUAAUCUCAGAAACCUUUUCGUAGUCCGGAUUGGAGUCUGCAACUCGACUCCAUGAAGUCGGAAUCGCUAGUAAUCGUAGAUCAGAAUGCUACGGUGAAUACGUUCCCGGGUCUUGUACACACCGCCCGUCAUACCAUGGGAGUGGGUUGCACCAGAAGUGGCUAGUCUAACUUAGUGAGGACGGUCACCACGGUGUGAUUCAUGACUGGGGUAAAGUCGUAACAAGGUAACC
Molecule: ribosomal RNA, 1499 nt
Filed under: uncultured bacterium
Lineage: Bacteria
Description: partial 16S ribosomal RNA
Rfam family: Bacterial small subunit ribosomal RNA
Source: RNAcentral